GCAAGUCGAACGAGAAAGUGGAGCAAUCCAUGAGUACAGUGGCGUACGGGUGAGUAACACGUGGGUAAACUACCUCCUAGUGAGGAAUAACCCUGGGAAACCGGGGCUAAUACCGCAUAAGCCUGAGAAGGGAAAGCAGCAAUGCGCUGAGAGAGGAGCCCGUGGCCGAUUAGCUAGUUGGUGGGGUAAGAGCCCACCAAGGCAGAGAUCGGUAGCCGGCCUGAGAGGGCACACGGCCACACUGGCACUGAAACACGGGCCAGACUCCUACGGGAGGCAGCAGUGGGGAAUCUUGCACAAUGGGGGAAACCCUGAUGCAGCGACGCCGCGUGAGCGAUGAAGCCCUUCGGGGUGUAAAGCUCUUUCGUCAGGGAAGAUAGUGACGGUACCUGGAGAAGCAGCUGCGGCUAACUACGUGCCAGCAGCCGCGGUAAUACGUAGGCAGCAAGCGUUGUUCGGAGUUACUGGGCGUAAAGGGUGUGUAGGCGGUUCUUUAAGUUUGGUGUGAAAUCUCCCGGCUUAACCGGGAGGGUGCGCCGAAUACUGAGGGACUAGAGUACGGGAGAGGAAAGUGGAAUUCCUGGUGUAGCGGUGAAAUGCGUAGAUAUCAGGAGGAACACCGGUGGUGUAGACGGCUUUCUGGACCGUAACUGACGCUGAGACACGAAAGCGUGGGUAGCAAACAGGAUUAGAUACCCUGGUAGUCCACGCCCUAAACGAUGCAUAUUUGGUGUGGGCAGUUCAUUCUGUCCAUGCCGGAGCUAACGCGUUAAAUAUGCCGCCUGGGGAGUACAGUCGCAAGGCUG
RNAcentral lists this ribosomal RNA (806 nucleotides) under uncultured Acidobacteriota bacterium. RNAcentral describes it as "bacterial SSU rRNA". It matches the Rfam family "Bacterial small subunit ribosomal RNA", at positions 57 to 896 of the family's 1533-position model. The record is from RNAcentral. Lineage: Bacteria; Pseudomonadati; Acidobacteriota.